CCUACGGGAGGCAGCAGUGGGGGAUAUUGGACAAUGGGGGGAACCCUGAUCCAGCGACGCCGCGUGAGUGAAGAAGUAUUUCGGUAUGUAAAGCUCUGUCAGCAGGGGAGAAAGAAAUGACGGUACCUGACCAAGAAGCCCCGUCUAACUACGUGCCAGCAGCCGCGGUAAUACGGAGGGGGCAAGCGUUAUCCGGAAUUACUGGGUGUAAAGGGAGCGUAGACGGUUAAGUAAGUCUGGAGUGAAAGGCCGGGGCCCAACCCCGGGACUGCUCUGGAAACUAUUGAACUUGAGUGCAGGAGAGGUAAGCGGAAUGCCUAGUGUAGCGGUGAAAUGCGUAGAUAUUAGGAGGAACACCAGUGGCGAAGGCGGCUUACUGGACUGUAACUGACGUUGAGGCUCGAAAGCGUGGGGAGCAAACAGGAUUAGAUACCCUAGUAGUC
RNAcentral lists this ribosomal RNA (443 nucleotides) under uncultured bacterium. RNAcentral's name for it is "partial 16S ribosomal RNA". It matches the Rfam family "Bacterial small subunit ribosomal RNA", at positions 338 to 795 of the family's 1533-position model. The record is from RNAcentral.